ACGUAAGGUGCAAGCGUUAAUCGGAAUUACUGGGCGUAAAGCGUGCGCAGGCGGACUUUUAAGCCAGAUGUGAAAGCCCCGAGCUUAACUUGGGAAUGGCAUUUGGGACUGCAAGGCUGGAGUGUGGCAGAGGAGACUGGAAUUCCUGGUGUAGCAGUGAAAUGCGUAGAUAUCAGGAGGAAUACCGAUGGCGAAGGCAGGUCUCUGGGCUGACACUGACGCUCAUGCACGAAAGCGUGGGGAGCAAACAGGA
RNAcentral lists this ribosomal RNA (253 nucleotides) under uncultured prokaryote. RNAcentral describes it as "partial 16S ribosomal RNA". It matches the Rfam family "Bacterial small subunit ribosomal RNA", at positions 525 to 777 of the family's 1533-position model. The record is from RNAcentral.